This 569-nucleotide ribosomal RNA is filed under the name uncultured bacterium. Its description in RNAcentral is "partial 16S ribosomal RNA". It matches the Rfam family "Bacterial small subunit ribosomal RNA", at positions 355 to 918 of the family's 1533-position model. The record is from RNAcentral.
UGGGGAAUUUUGGACAAUGGGCGAAAGCCUGAUCCAGCAAUGCCGCGUGUGUGAAGAAGGCCUUCGGGUUGUAAAGCACUUUUGUCCGGAAAGAAAUCCUUGGCUCUAAUACAGUCGGGGGAUGACGGUACCGGAAGAAUAAGCACCGGCUAACUACGUGCCAGCAGCCGCGGUAAUACGUAGGGUGCAAGCGUUAAUCGGAAUUACUGGGCGUAAAGCGUGCGCAGGCGGUUUGCUAAGACCGAUGUGAAAUCCCCGGGCUCAACCUGGGAACUGCAUUGGUGACUGGCAGGCUAGAGUAUGGCAGAGGGGGGUAGAAUUCCACGUGUAGCAGUGAAAUGCGUAGAGAUGUGGAGGAAUACCGAUGGCGAAGGCAGCCCCCUGGGCAAUACUGACGCUCAUGCACGAAAGCGUGGGGAGCAAACAGGAUUAGAUACCCUGGUAGUCCACGCCCUAAACGAUGUCAACUAGUUGUUGGGGAUUCAUUUCCUUAGUAACGUAGCUAACGCGUGAAGUUGACCGCCUGGGGAGUACGGUCGCAAGAUUAAAACUUAAAGGAAUUGACGGGG